Molecule: long non-coding RNA, 194 nt
Organism: Etheostoma cragini (Arkansas darter)
Lineage: Eukaryota; Metazoa; Chordata; Actinopteri; Perciformes; Percidae
Exons: 2
Source: RefSeq, a predicted model, not a curated record
ACUUCAUAAGGGGCAAGAUUCCAGAUUGGCCCAUCUGAGCUUUCAUUUUCUCAAAGGCAGAGCAGGAUACCUAGGGCUUGGUUUGCACCUAUCGCUAUUUCUAGCCACUGGGGGCCAUAGGCAGCCUGGGGGAAUGCACAAUAAUGUUAAAAAAAAAACCUCAUAAAGUGAAAUUUUCAUGCCAUGAGACCUUU